GUUUUUCUGCUGGAAGAGACCUAAAUAAUCCAGCCCCUAGAUUCUGGAGUAGCCAGCAUAGUGCCUGACUGUACUGGUUCUGCCUGUCUGGAGGGCCAUGGAGAAGAGGCUGGGAGUCAAGCCAAAUCCUGCUUCCUGGAUUUUAUCAGGAUAUUAUUGGCAGACAUCUGCGAAGUGGUUGAGAAGCCUGUACCUGUUUUAUACUUGCUUUUGCUUCAGCGUUCUGUGGUUGUCAACAGGUCCACAAGGCGAUUACAAUUUCCAGUCCCCUAACCACAGACCUGACUGCAGAGCUGUCUGGUGGGCCAAAGAAUGUAUCAGUGCAACCUGAAAUAUCAGAGGGUCUUGCUACUACGCCCAGCACUCAACAAGUAAAAAGUUCUGAGAAAACC
RNAcentral lists this long non-coding RNA (392 nucleotides) under Homo sapiens (human). Its description in RNAcentral is "HSALNT0004818". Lineage: Eukaryota; Metazoa; Chordata; Mammalia; Primates; Hominidae. The record is from RNAcentral.